AUGCCACCUCCGCCUGUGCUUCCCUCAGGAGUUUGUCCUUUUCCUUGAUGGCCUCUUCCUCCUUCAGAAUGCCUGGCAGUGCUGCCGUCUCGUCUCCAAUGGCACCUUGCCUCCGGCGCUCCCGUGCUGCCUCCUCCCGCAUCAUAGCCAUCUCCUUCCUCAGGGAAUCCACAGAGGUUUGUAGCUCGCGUUCUCGUGCCGCCAUUUCUUGGGUCUCCUCUGUAGACUUUUUUAAUACUGUGAGAAGCAGCCAACCCACAGUCCCUGCUACCUCCCGGGCACUCUGCUUCUCAAAGGAUCUGCUUACUAUACCAAGGGCCACCCCUUCAGCCUCAGGUGUCACCUCCACUGCCUCCAGUCCUGGGGUGGCCCAGUCCUCUAGGAGGCAAGCCACCUCAGACCACAUACCCAGUGGGGGACGAUCCACUGUCUUCCCAUUCACAGGGGCAGCCCACUGAAGCACCCCUCCCAUAAAGGCAGCUUGUCUUUGUCCUUGGUCAACAGUGAACCCUGCCAACUUUCACCAGUUGUCUUGCCAAUGGAUUUCAGCCCCAGGUUUCCCUGAGGUCCUUCCUGCCAGGCUUUCUCCAGAACCAUUUCGAGAGAUCACAUGCUUCCCAAGUCCUCAGGAAUUGGUCCCUGGACUCCUUUAAAAAGCAUAUUUAUUUCUAGAGGCUCUUUGGUUCUUUGUCAAACCUGUCUGAUCAUUUUAGAGUUUCUUGCUUCUUAUUAUUUAAAUUCCUUAUUUUAUAUUUUUAAAUAUAUUCAAUAUACUUA
Molecule: long non-coding RNA, 777 nt
Organism: Manis pentadactyla (Chinese pangolin)
Lineage: Eukaryota; Metazoa; Chordata; Mammalia; Pholidota; Manidae
Exons: 2
Source: RefSeq, a predicted model, not a curated record